This 253-nucleotide ribosomal RNA is filed under the name uncultured bacterium. Its description in RNAcentral is "partial 16S ribosomal RNA". It matches the Rfam family "Bacterial small subunit ribosomal RNA", at positions 524 to 776 of the family's 1533-position model. The record is from RNAcentral.
UACGAAGGGGGCUAGCGUUGCUCGGAAUUACUGGGCGUAAAGGGCGCGUAGGCGGUUUGCUAAGUUGAAUGUGAAAACUCUGGGCUUAACCCAGAGCCUGCAUUCAAUACUGGCAGGCUAGAGUUCUGGAGGGGAUAGCGGAAUUCCUGGUGUAGCGGUGAAAUGCGUAGAUAUCAGGAGGAACACCAGUGGCGAAGGCGACUCGCUGGACAAGUAUUGACGCUGAGGUGCGAAAGCGUGGGGAGCAAACAGG